This 497-nucleotide ribosomal RNA is filed under the name uncultured bacterium. RNAcentral describes it as "partial 16S ribosomal RNA". It matches the Rfam family "Bacterial small subunit ribosomal RNA", at positions 28 to 507 of the family's 1533-position model. The record is from RNAcentral.
GAUGAACGCUGGCGGCGUGCCUAAUACAUGCAAGUCGAGCGAACAGAUAAGGAGCUUGCUCCUUUGACGUUAGCGGCGGACGGGUGAGUAACACGUGGGUAACCUACCUAUAAGACUGGAAUAACUCCGGGAAACCGGGGCUAAUGCCGGAUAACAUUUAGAACCGCAUGGUUCUAAAGUGAAAGAUGGUUUUGCUAUCACUUAUCGAUGGACCCGCGCCGUAUUAGCUAGUUGGUAAGGUAACGGCUUACCAAGGCAACGAUACGUAGCCGACCUGAGAGGGUGAUCGGCCACACUGGAACUGAGACACGGUCCAGACUCCUACGGGAGGCAGCAGUAGGGAAUCUUCCGCAAUGGGCGAAAGCCUGACGGAGCAACGCCGCGUGAGUGAUGAAGGUCUUCGGAUCGUAAAACUCUGUUAUUAGGGAAGAACAAAUGUGUAAGUAACUGUGCACGUCUUGACGGUACCUAAUCAGAAAGCCACGGCUAACUACGUG